This 255-nucleotide ribosomal RNA is filed under the name uncultured bacterium. RNAcentral describes it as "partial 16S ribosomal RNA". It matches the Rfam family "Bacterial small subunit ribosomal RNA", at positions 524 to 776 of the family's 1533-position model. The record is from RNAcentral.
UACGUAGGGUGCAAGCGUUUAUCCGGAAUUAUUGGGCGUAAAGAGCUCGUAGGCGGUUUGUCGCGUCUGCUGUGAAAACUGGAGGCUCAACCUCCAGCCUGCAGUGGGUACGGGCAGACUAGAGUGCGGUAGGGGAGAUUGGAAUUCCUGGUGUAGCGGUGGAAUGCGCAGAUAUCAGGAGGAACACCGAUGGCGAAGGCAGAUCUCUGGGCCGUAACUGACGCUGAGGAGCGAAAGCAUGGGGGAGCGAACAGG